Molecule: unclassified non-coding RNA, 6418 nt
Filed under: Homarus americanus (American lobster)
Lineage: Eukaryota; Metazoa; Arthropoda; Malacostraca; Decapoda; Nephropidae
Description: uncharacterized LOC121858043, transcript variant X1
Source: RNAcentral
CAACAUGGCUUCCAGCUUCUACCACUCCAUGGUACCUCAACCUACAUUUGUACCUCCUGCCCAAAACACUGUCCAACAAGAGUCACCCAAAGAAAAGAAAAAGAGGACUAGAAACCCAGAGAAUUGGAAAAAAGAGAAGAGAAAACGUGCAAUUCUCUCUGGCCAGGCGUACGUGAACACUAAAGGAGAGUUGGUGGGGCCUCGCGCUAUAGGUCCGGACUGUAACUGUAAGAAUAAAUGUUUUACGGCAGUGUCCGACGACAACCGUAAUGCUAUAUUUAACGGCUACUACUCCCUCAACAGCUAUGAUGAGCAGAACGCCUACUUGUAUGGUCUCAUCCGCCGCCACGAUAUACAGCGUAAGCGUAAACCUGUCUCUGAGCGGAGAACUUGUUCCUACAAAUACUAUAUUCGUAUUAAAGGAAAAGAGAUACAGGUGUGUAAGAAAGCUUUUGCCAACAUCCACGGUAUAUCAGAUAAGAAGAUCAGAACACUGUGUAUAAAGCAUGAGCAGAACAUCUUGUUUCCCAGAGACAACAGGGGAAGACAUCGCAACCGACCUAAGAAGGUAACGCCGGAGUUGGUGACACUGAUCAAGCAUCACAUCUUAAAAAUGUUGUCGGGGCCCAACGGUAGUGACUAUAUCAAGACAGACAAGAACCAGGGUCCUGAUGUUAACAUAUCCAAACUACACAAGAGUUUCCUGCAGCAGUAUGAACCUGAAGCUAUUGACCAAGAGACAGAUAAAGUCAUUAAGGACUAUGAUGCCAAGGUGAAGUCAUGGCUCUACUUCAAAGUGUUUCAUGAGGAAUUCAAAUCAAUGGACUUCAACACAGUCAAGAGGAAACUGUCAGAUUUACGCAAGAGUUUAGAAGCGUCGGGAGCUCUGCAGGCCACCAAGAAGAAGACCACCAAACAGUCGCGUCCACGGCCUCGUCCACAGGAGAACCAGGUCGCUCGCAACGCCACGCCCAUCGAUGCCUCCACAUCUUCCCUGGGUGUGGCGGUGUCGGCCGCCCCGGCCACACAGAUGGGUGGGUACAUGGGUCAGCAGCCCCCGACCCUCCCACCAAACCUCCAGUUAAGUGUUCUUGGUCUCCAGCAUUUAGGGAAUAACUCUCACGCUGGAGCAGCUUUCAACCCCACAGCAGCUGCUCAGCAGCCUCAACAGCAGCCUCUCAACCUCCAGACCGGUGGGGGCGGGGAACAGCCCCAGCCGCUGCCCUUAAACUUACACUCCAUGGGUGGUCACAUGCCUUCCUACUACCUCUCCUUAGGUCACAUGUCAAACCUCAUAUCCCUCCCCGUGUCUUCGGGAGGAGGAGUUCAGGGGGCCAAUACUCAGUCUGGCAACUUCCCCGGCCAGCACAACAUGCAGCAGUUUAACCCGGGUUCUAUCGUACCGUCUCACUCUGUAGCACAGACGGCUCCUGGACCUGCAGGUCAGCCUCACUUACUUCAGGGCGGGGUCGGGGUCACGUACGCUGGUCCUCAACACAACCACGCCAUGUACUGACCGUCUUAAUACAUUAUAAUGUGGCACAUUAUAAUGUAUACUGGUGGCAUUUUUAGUGAAGUAAUGUAUAAGGAUUUUGUAUGACCUACAGAUCAUUCAUCAAGUGACCUGUAAGAUGACCCACAGAGCAGGGCCUAUACUGUUUAAGAGGCCAUGGUGUUUGAGGUGGCACCACUGUCCCACCUGGAUCACUGUUAACUGACACUCAUCCAAUCACACCAGAGUUUAUGGAGCAGCGGGAGGCCUCGGUGAAGAGGUCUGACGGUGACACACAAUUGUUCUCUCCUUGUGACGUUCUUUUACAAAAUAAAAGAAGACUCCAACCUUGAACUAGUGAUUGUUUUGAGAGUCACCAAGUACACACCCAUCCACUAGUUAGCUGGACUUGGCUCCCUCAGAUAUAAACUUGAGAGUAUUACCAAACCUCACAUUUCCCUGCCUGGCACCAGGUCUGCUCUUCUCUACAUAACAUCCACCCAAAUAUUCUCUACAAAUUAAAAAUUUCUCAUGUUGAAAAUGUGGCAGUUGAUUUAAUAAUCCCCAAAAUAAAAAAUGGUUUUCCCCAUAAGUAGGAAAUUGGUACAGUACCGUAGUAAUUAGUGGUGUCACAAAAUACAAACAUUGAAUUGGUGGCACCUAUGUGUUGAGUUAAGGUGAGUCCCCUUGAGCCUGGUGAUUUACUCCCUCCAGCAGUGAAGAACAUAUCCAGUAGUAUUAGUUUAUUAUAUAUGAGUCAUUAUAGAAUACUGAAGACAUUUGUAUCGGCCUUUUUGUGAGGCAAAGCAGAGAAGUACAUGAAUUUCUAACUUUCCAUUUAACUUGUGUAAAUUGAUGCCUUGAAGGGAACUUUCCCAUUAUUGUAACUUACAGACAACUGAAGAUAGUGUAUUCUAUCUUUAUGAACUUCACUUUAUUAAUAGAGGGAUGAUGGACAUUUAUCCAGUAUGUAGGUGGAUGUGAGUGAGUGAGUGUGAUGACCAGAGGACUAGUCUUCCUUGAUAGGAGGUGAAGGACAUCUUGUCAAGGAUGUUUAUUGCUUCCUUGGUGCGCCCCCAAAUUCAUCAUCCCUCACUUACAGGCCACAUGCUUAAUAACUUGUUAGCUAUAAAACAAAGGAUCCACCUGUAGGUACGUAACUCCUCUUGGUGUGUUUCAUCAUUGGCAGGAAAAUGUGAGGCUUGUGGCUGGAUUCUCAAGUUUGUCUGAAGGAUUCAAAUUAAGUGAACUAGUUUGAGGGUUCAUCGUGGCAUACUAGUGGUCCACCUCUCUCGUGAAGUCAGCAGAAUAGAAGGUUACCUCAUGAACCUUAGUGUGGCUGAAUUAAUGCUUCUUUACAGUGUUAACUCUACCUGACAUUGACAGACAGUGGCCAUCCCUCAUAACACAACUGGCCCCCUGAACAUAACUGAGACAGACAGUGGCCAUCCCUCAUAACACAACUGGCCCCCUGGACAUAACUGAGACAGACAGUGGCCAUCCCUCAUAACACAACUGGCCCCCUGGACAUAACUGAGACAGACAGUGGCCAUGCCUCUUAACACAACUGGCCCACUGGACAUAACUAAGACAGACAGUGGCCAUCCCUCAUAACACAACUGGCCCCCUGGACAUAACUGAGACAGACAGUGGCCAUCCCUCAUAACACAACUGGCCCCCUGGACAUAACUGAGACAGACAGUGGCCAUGCCUCUUAACACUCUUGGCCACUGGACAGAGCCAGUUGGCUUUGUCUAUAAGUUGUUCAAGCAGGUAAACUUGCAGGUCACCUGAUUCUUCACCUCAACCAUAAAGAAAAUAUUUCAUACUUUUUUUUCCUUUUUGAUACUGUUGAAAAUCACAUAUUUGUUGUACAAUAUAGUACUGUACUGGCAAACUAUUAAACUAGUUAACAGAUAAAGUAGAUAUGGUGCUGAUCAAGUGUAUGAGGCAAGAUAUAUAUAUUUUUGGCUCCCAUGGGAUUGUUUGAGCAAGAAGAGGUAGUAGUAAAUAUAACCCCAAUACCCCUUAAUGAUAAGGAAACAAUGGCUGUGCUAGAGUAGGUUCUGACACUUUCUCAGUGAACAUAUUUUACAUUUACAAUAUCGUCGUCAGUAACUACCUGGAUGUGGGUUGUUCGCCUUCAUCAUCAUUUCCCUGGGCUUCACAGACACACUCAUGUUUACAGUUAGUUCUCCUGUAACCAGUUUAAUUGGUGUGUGUGGCCAGUCCAUCAUUCCAGUUACUUGUGAAAAAUCUCCUUAGCCGGACAGAAUUAUCACUGAACUGGACCUUGAUCACAGAGACAUCACAAAAUAAACCAGAAUAUAGGGAACAGUAGAACAAUAUUGUGUCGAAAGGUAAAUAAAAAAAAAGUGUGUGUAAUAUAAGUGUUGGGCUGGGUGUAGUAAACAGAAAUGAGAGAAUGCUGUAGAGAUAAUAAUAAUAGACAAGUCUUAUUAGUCUCAGACACAGAUAUUGUUUAAUUCUGGUUAAGAAUUGUUGAGUUAAUGGAGACCUCAAUGUACAUCAGUGGUUUAUAGUGGUACUUUAAUUGACAGAUAGUAAGGAUUUAGUAUCACACUCUUGACUAAGUGGACAUCUUUUCCAUGUGUAACAGUCGGUCCUCCAAUACAGAUUCAAGUUUGUUUUGAACACAUAAUUGCUUUCUACAUUUAUAGCAUCUUAAAUAAUUUUUACAACAUUUACCAUUGUUUAAAAAAUCAUUAUAAACACUUAGAGAUAUUCAAUAAAAUAUUAAUAUGAUGUCAUAAAGAAAUAAACUGUAAAAUAGGAAAGGAAAAUAUUGUUGGCAGUGUCCAGGGCCAACAGGUAAUACACCUUUUACUGUGUUUUACUCUUUACUUCACUAAAUCAUAUCAAAGAGUCUAUGCUCUGGGAGGAUGGCUCACUCAGUGUUAAGUUUUUGAUCUCCCGCUAAGGUGGCACCGCCAAGUAGUCAGUAGGUUAUGGACAUCAAUGUUUAGGUGUCUAGGAAUGUUGUCUCAUAGCAACACAUUGAUGAUUUUGCCAAAAAACAAUGCACUAAUAUUUGCUUACUUAAAGGGAAUAUACUUCCUUCGGUUGUUCAGUAAGAGCAGUGGUGGCAGCUGCAGCUUUACACCAGUUAAUUUGGAAGAAAAAAAUCACAAAGUAAACCAAUGCACUUUGUUGUAAUUGUUUUGAACAAGUUAUUAAUGAUAUAAAGAACAUCAGUGUUUUUACAAGUCGGUAAAAGAAUUGGCAGUAACAUUACUGUACUUUUUCACGAGGUUAUUGAUGACCAACAUUUAACAAAAAAGUACUGUACAGCUUCCAUCCCACAACUACCAAGGUAUUGCUGGAAAUUUAUGACUAGCUGUAAAAAUUAGUUUCCUACUGUGGAAAAAGUUUGAAGAUCAGACUACAUUAUUCCAUGUUGAAAUAAUAUUUAUUCAGUGAAAUUGUCAUGCAGGUUUACAGUUAGAUAGGCAUGUAUGUAGACUAUGCUUCUGUAUGCCACUUGCCACAUGGAAUUUUUCUUGAAUCAUCAGUGAUUUAAAGUAAGAAAAAUUGAGUGAAAUUGCCUUCAUAGGUUAGGUUGGGAUUGGUUAGGUUUUCAUGAAUUUCACACUUGUUUCUUGGGUUCAUGUUGACUCAUAAGGGAUGAGUUGUAAUCCAUUCAAAACAUCGAACUAUGCAGCAAAACAUCAUUUCAUCAAAAAGUCGUUGGGGUCUAAAAACGAAUAUUGAGCCAAAAUGUCAAAGUUCCAGCCUUAUGUUUUCAACAAUCCAACAAUAUUCUGCUAACUUUAUAAAUAUAUUUUGUUGAUAAUCUGUUGUUCACUAAAGGUUCUGAAGAGUAGAAAAUUAUCAAUACUGAAGACAUUAAAUGAAGAGAGAGCUCAUAAAAACAUUGGCACAAGUAGCUUUAUGACUCGCUCUUUUUGGCUCCUUUGGUAAUCUGAAUAAAGACAGAUUUCUGUUCCUUUUCGUGUUGUUGGAACAAUCAUUAUAACACAUUGUAGGUGGUAAAAUACACUGAUAUCCCCAUUAGUCUGAGCAGUUGGUGUAGAGCACUCCAAGGAAUGACAGAUUUCUGGGAACGAAGCGACUCAUCAGACCAAGAAAAAAUCCCCCGUCCCUUAAAUUUUUCCGGGUACAGUACUGGGAAAAGUUUAUUGGAAUUUUUUGCUUUAUUUCAUCCUUGGAAUUUGCUUUCAGAACCCAGAAAAAAAAAUAUUGGAGAGAGUUUCUAGAAUUUUGCUCAUAAUUUUCCAGAAAAUGUGCCCGAUUUUCAACCUCAUAGAAUCAUUCCAAAACCCAGAACUGAGAGAAAUUUCCCAGAGAAAUUCCAAGCAAAUUUCAGUUCUGGCUAUUGGGGAGUUCCGGCCAACACUCAUUGAAAUGUGCGUCUCCCUCUCUUUAAUCUCUGCCUGCCAUUUAUUGUUUGUGCUUGGCUGGGCCACAGUCGGGGUGAAUGAGUUCACCCAAUGUAGUGAGCCAUCUCUUUACAGUAUAGACUCCUUGGUCAUACUUCAAAUAAUUUAUGUUUUUUUUUUAAUUUUAGGUUAAGUGUAGGAGACUCCUGAGUCCUGGAGAAACUGUUGUUCUGUUGUGUAUUAAUUACUUCUCUCUCCACAAAUGUUAAUAAAGAGAAGAAAGUUAAGAUAAAGUUUGUCUCGUGAAGCAGUUGUGUUAUGACUUGAACCACAGCAGGUGACAACUGCAGGUAUGACAGUACUGUACUGGUGUACCACAACACACUUCGCCACAAUAUACCUCACAACACACUUCACCACAUUGUGCCACAAUUAUGUUAGAUAAUUUAUGUAUGAUAAUAAGUUACAACUGUUUGAGGAUAUUAAAUUAGGUUGAGGUUUACCAUAAUAACACAGUACAGUGCAGCACAACACAGUACAGUGCAGUACAGUACAGUACAACACA